ACCUACCACUGCCAAUCUAUCUAUCACUGCUAAUCUAUCGCUGCUAAUCUAUCACUGCUAAUCUAUCACUGCCAACCUACCUACCGCUGCCAACCUAUCUACCGCUGCCAAUCUAUCUAUCGCUGCUAAUCUAUCGCUGCUAAUCUAUCACUGCCAAUCUAUCGCUGCUAAUCUAUCGCUGCUAAUCUACCGCUGCCAACCUACCUACCGCUGCCAACCUACCUACCGCUGCCAACCUACCUACCGCUGCCAACCUAUCUAUCGCUGCUAAUCUAUCGCUGCUAAUCUAUCGCUGCUAAUCUACCGCUGCCAACCUACCUACCGCUGCCAACCUACCUACCGCUGCCAACCUACCUACCGCUGCCAACCUAUCUAUCGCUGCUAAUCUAUCGCUGCUAAUCUAUCACUGCUAAUCUAUUGCUGCUAAUUUAUUGCUGCCAACCUACCUACCACUGCUAAUCUAUCACUGCUGCCAAUCUAUAUAGAGUAAAUCAUGAUUCUAUUUGGUCCCAUUUUGUAAAAUGAGAUCAAAUGAAAUCAGAAUCACUAAUUUAUUAGUAAAAUAUAAUCUGAGACUAGAUUUUUAAUAUAAACAGUGUAAAGUAACUAAUUUACUAAAUACUAUAUGAGAUCAGAACUAAGAUAUUUAAUAAUGAGACUAAGAAAAAAUUUGAUCUCAGUCUCAUGCAUGAUCACACAGCCAGUCUAAUUAUCACAAUAAAAGCAAAAAGAAUUCAUCAAACAGUUAGAAUUAGUUGAUAUAACUGAUCUUAUCAGUGAAACAUUAAAUAAAAUAUAAAAGUUCAACAAUCUUGAACAGAAGGAAUUCAACAUUCUCAUACAUCUUCUUUAUCUAUUUCUUUUCAAUUUGCUAAUUAUUAUAUUCUCUAUAUUAUUUUCUAUUUUGAUAAUUUGUUCAGUUUCAUUACUGAUAGUAUUCAGCUGAAGAGAGUAUAUCAAAAACUUGAUAAGUUCUACUAUCAAAGAUUUAAGAAGAUUCAAGCAAUAGAAUGAAGCAUUAGAAUAUUUCACUAUAUAAAACUUAGUAAUACUCACUC
This 1058-nucleotide small RNA is filed under the name Histoplasma capsulatum. RNAcentral describes it as "hypothetical RNA". The record is from RNAcentral. Lineage: Eukaryota; Fungi; Ascomycota; Eurotiomycetes; Onygenales; Ajellomycetaceae. RNAcentral also lists the same sequence under 1 other name.